Molecule: long non-coding RNA, 319 nt
Organism: Haemorhous mexicanus (house finch)
Lineage: Eukaryota; Metazoa; Chordata; Aves; Passeriformes; Fringillidae
Exons: 5
Source: RefSeq, a predicted model, not a curated record
GGUUAGGGUUAGGGUUAGGGUUAGGGUUAGGGUUAGGGUUAGGGUUAGGGUUAGGGUUGGUUAGGGUUAGGGUUAGGGUUAGGGUUAGGGGUUAGGGUUAGGGUUAGGGUUAGGGUUGGUUAGGGUUAGGGUUAGGGUUAGGGUUAGGGUUAGGGUUAGGGUUAGGGUUAGGGUUAGGGUUUAGGGUUAGGGUUAGGGUUAGGGUUAGGGUUAGGGUUAGGGUUAGGGUUAGGGUUAGGGUUAGGGUUAGGGUUAGGGUUGGUUAGGGUUAGGGUUAGGGUUAGGGUUAGGGUUUAGGGUUAGGGUUAGGGUUAGGGUU